RNAcentral lists this long non-coding RNA (356 nucleotides) under Pogona vitticeps (central bearded dragon). RNAcentral describes it as "lncRNA (ENSPVIG00000020434.1)". The record is from RNAcentral. Lineage: Eukaryota; Metazoa; Chordata; Lepidosauria; Squamata; Agamidae.
AGAGCUGUCGUGCAAUUUUCUGGUCCAGCAGUAGGGCAUGUCUUCUUUUUGGCACACAGGUGAUCAUGGGAAGUGCCUCCGUGCUGACUCUGAGCAUCCCAGUCAGUGUCGCUGUCAGCAAGAGGUUCUCCUUCUGCACAGACAUCUGCCUGCUGGAGACAGACACUGUGGAUAAUGUGUUCCAUAAAGCAAAAAGUGUAGAGGACCAUACAUUACCUAUCCCUCCCUUAGAGAAAUAUUGCUCUUCUUUCGUCGGAAUUUGAGAUCCGUGCUACAAUACUGGUGACAAAUUAUGACUCUUAUGUGUAUCAUUUCAUAUUAAUAAAUGGUGAGUUGAACUCUGACUGUGCUGGAGA